This 237-nucleotide ribosomal RNA is filed under the name uncultured bacterium. RNAcentral describes it as "partial 16S ribosomal RNA". It matches the Rfam family "Bacterial small subunit ribosomal RNA", at positions 96 to 334 of the family's 1533-position model. The record is from RNAcentral.
CGGCGGACGGGUGAGUAACGCGUGGGUAACCUGCCUCAUACAGGGGGAUAACAGUUAGAAAUGAUUGCUAAUACCGCAUAAGACCACAGCACCGCAUGGUGCGGGGGUAAAAACUCCGGUGGUAUGAGAUGGACCCGCGUCUGAUUAGCUAGUUGGUAAGGUAACGGCUUACCAAGGCGACGAUCAGUAGCCGACCUGAGGGGUGACCGGCCACAUUGGGACUGAGACACGGCCCAA